UGAGGGAAUAUUUGGGGUCAAUGGACGAGAGUCUGAACCAGCCAAGUAGCGUGCAGGACGACGGCCCUAUGGGUUGUAAACUGCUUUUGUACGGGGAUAAAGUGAGCCACGUGUGGUUUAUUGCAGGUACCGUACGAAUAAGGACCGGCUAAUUCCGUGCCAGCAGCCGCGGUAAUACGGAAGGUCCGGGCGUUAUCCGGAUUCAUUGGGUUUAAAGGGAGCGUAGGCCGCCCCUUAAGCGUGUUGUGAAAUGCCGCGGCUCAACCGUGGCACUGCAGCGCGAACUGGGGGGCUUGAGUGCGCGCAGCGAAAGGCGGAAUUCGUGGUGUAGCGGUGAAAUGCUUAGAUAUCACGAAGAACUCCGAUCGCGAAG
RNAcentral lists this ribosomal RNA (373 nucleotides) under uncultured Prevotella sp. RNAcentral's name for it is "bacterial SSU rRNA". It matches the Rfam family "Bacterial small subunit ribosomal RNA", at positions 354 to 720 of the family's 1533-position model. The record is from RNAcentral. Lineage: Bacteria; Pseudomonadati; Bacteroidota; Bacteroidia; Bacteroidales; Prevotellaceae.